CAGGGUCGCAGCUUCCCUGUUCCCUAUCCGUGCUGAUGCUGGGAACCGAGAGUCUUCUUUUGUUUUCCCUCUCACCUCUGGCUGCCUCUCCUUCCCUGCAAAGGUCAGAGCAGUGCCAAGGACAGAAGAGAGGGUAGACCCAGCCUUGGCCAUGCUAGGCUGGGCAGCCUGGCAGGUAGAGCCAGCGGGGGACACAGCCUGGCAGAUGGAGACUGGCAGGAGCCCGGCUGGGGGGCCGUCCUGCAGGGCUGGCAAGCUCUGGCACUCCUGUACCCAGAACUGACUUCGUCCCUCGCAGCCAUGGGGGCUGUACUAACCACACUCUUCCUCCACCUUUGCACUACAAAAAGCAAAUAAACAGACCAAAGAACUGUUUGCAUUUGCCCCAGAUGCUCCCUGGCUGCAGGAAGAGAUAAAGUUUGCUGACCCCUGGAGAGGAAGUCAUGACCCAUGGCUGGCAGAUGGAAGCCUCAGACCUGAAGAUUUCUCAAAGGGACUUGCUGCUGAGAGUGAUUAAUAUAUGUUUGCAGCUUGCAGCUGAAGCCUGAUGAUGGCUGUAGGAUUAAGGACAUCACCCAGAUGACAAUUUGCCUCCAAAGGUCUGGGGACCAACUGUGGAAGAACUGCAGGGAUAUUAUGUUAGAAUGUUCUUGUAUCUGGACAGGAUGAGAACUGUCUUAUAACAAAGUGCAGCCCCCAUAUCUGAGGGCACGUUUCCUGUGUGUUUAGGCACUUCCAAAGCAGGGAACACCUUCAAGGGCACCGGCCUUCCCAGAAACAGUGUUGGACCUGUGUUGAUGUCCUGGAGAGAGGGGACCUAGAAAAAGUCCUUAGCCUUCCCGUAAGGCACAAUUCUUCUCCCCUACAGAGCCUUAAAUACUCAAGCCAAGCAGUAAGCACUCUGUGCUCCAGUCUGUGGCUACAGACACACAAGGCCUGAAGCAAAAUCAAAUAGAAUGUAUCAUCACCACUGAGCCCACAGGAGCCCCCAGGUGCUUCUGAACAUCAAAGGAGAAGAAGCUCUCAGAGAUCAGGGUGAAUGCAGUGUUAGGUGUGUGGCAUUGCUUCUGGGUCCCUGCUUUGGUUUAAUUAAACUAAGUCUGGUGGUAAAGUGGUUCCCAAAUGCUCAUUGGUGGAUGGGCGGCAUCAGAAUUGUCUGAACAUCUUUUGAAAAACACAUAUGCAAAACUCAUAUGCAUGCAUGUUUUCCUCUGAGGGUUUGAUUUUCAGCAGGCUUGGGGUGGAUUCCUACUUUUAAGAACUCCCCAUGCCUAUCCUAAGUGAUUGUGACUCCCAGGAAGUGAAAGCUGACAAAUUGAACCUGUCAGCAUGGACAUUUACUUAUGAAAUAAAGGGACAUUUAUUUCACAGUC
Molecule: long non-coding RNA, 1373 nt
Organism: Cebus imitator (Panamanian white-faced capuchin)
Lineage: Eukaryota; Metazoa; Chordata; Mammalia; Primates; Cebidae
Exons: 3
Source: RefSeq, a predicted model, not a curated record